ACCUCGUGGUUGGGACAUUACAUAAGAUUUCCAUUAAAUAUCUCCCAUACCUCAUAUAGAGGCUCUCCAUUCAAUUGACAAAAGUUUGUAAUUUUGUCUUGCAAUU
Non-coding RNA from Capsicum annuum, 106 nucleotides. NCBI's taxonomy places the organism in Eukaryota, Viridiplantae, Streptophyta, Magnoliopsida, Solanales, Solanaceae. The record is from Rfam.